ACUAGAUCGGCAUCGAACUAGUAUUAAAGGAGCGAAUGCUCCGCUACUGGAUGGACUCGCGGUGCAUUAGCUAGUUGGUGAGGUAGAGGCUCACCAAGGCGAUGAUGCAUAGCCGACCUGAGAGGGUGAACGGGCCACAUUGGGACUGAGACACGGCCCAGACUCCUACGGGAGGCAGCAGUAGGGAAUUUUCGUCAAUGGGGGAAACCCUGAACGAGCAAUGCCGCGUGAGUGAAGAAGGAUUUCGGUCU
This 251-nucleotide ribosomal RNA is filed under the name uncultured Bacillota bacterium. RNAcentral describes it as "uncultured Firmicutes bacterium partial 16S ribosomal RNA". It matches the Rfam family "Bacterial small subunit ribosomal RNA", at positions 180 to 424 of the family's 1533-position model. Lineage: Bacteria; Bacillati; Bacillota. The record is from RNAcentral.